RNAcentral lists this microRNA precursor (170 nucleotides) under Hordeum vulgare. RNAcentral's name for it is "microRNA MIR1122". It matches the Rfam family "MIR1120/MIR1122 microRNA precursor family". Lineage: Eukaryota; Viridiplantae; Streptophyta; Magnoliopsida; Poales; Poaceae. The record is from RNAcentral.
GAUGUACUCCCUCCGUUCCUAAAUAUAAGACCUUGUAGAGAUUGCACUAUGGACUACAUACGGAUGUAUAUAGACAUAUUUUAAAGUGUAGAUUCGCUCAUUUUGCUCCGUAUGUAGUCCAUAGUAAAAUCUCUAUAAGGUCUUAUAUUUAGGAACGGAGGGAGUAUUUG